UACGUAGGGUGCGAGCGUUGUCCGGAAUUAUUGGGCGUAAAGAGCUCGUAGGCGGUCUGUCGCGUCGGUCGUGAAAACUUGGGGCUUAACCCUGAGCUUGCGGUCGAUACGGGCAUGACUGGAGUUCGGCAGGGGAGACUGGAAUUCCUGGUGUAGCGGUGAAAUGCGCAGAUAUCAGGAGGAACACCGGUGGCGAAGGCGGGUCUCUGGGCCGAUACUGACGCUGAGGAGAGAAAGCGUGGGGAGCGAACAGG
This 254-nucleotide ribosomal RNA is filed under the name uncultured bacterium. Its description in RNAcentral is "partial 16S ribosomal RNA". It matches the Rfam family "Bacterial small subunit ribosomal RNA", at positions 524 to 776 of the family's 1533-position model. The record is from RNAcentral.